Molecule: long non-coding RNA, 2643 nt
Organism: Hippocampus zosterae (dwarf seahorse)
Lineage: Eukaryota; Metazoa; Chordata; Actinopteri; Syngnathiformes; Syngnathidae
Exons: 3
Source: RefSeq, a predicted model, not a curated record
AGAGAUCUGCCCCGGGUCUCUGGGACGCACCAGGCGGUGAAGAGCAGACACACCACGCAUACCACCGUGAAAAUAGAAUACGGCACGUAAAGGCCGUAACUGUCCACCAGAUCGCCGGAUAAAGUUGACGCUUGUCAGCUGAAGUCAGCCCGAUAUCCUUCACAAAAAUGCACCUUGAAACUAUUUUGAGACAGACUUGGUGUUAUUGGGCCAGGAAAUGGCAAUGGAUUAGUUUGACAGGGCGUUGCCCCUCAAAAAAGAUUUUUCCCAAAGUACUGCGCCAAAGAACCAAUAAUUGUCCGGCCUACAAAAGUUCUCUCAAGUCCCAGGCUACAGGUGCACAAGGGAGAGGAUUUUCCACUGGAAUUAUUUUCCUUCACAGUGAUACAACGUGCAGUGAUGGAUAGUUGCUGUUGUCACAUAAAAGCCAUACAAUCGGGUAGUAUAUCACUCACCAAAUAUAAAUAUCACAACGCUGAUAAUUGGAAUGGGUCCUGCGGGUGUUUGAUUGCUUGCCAGCCAAGUGACGUCAGAGUGAAGGUUGCGCUCCAUACUUGCGGUGAAGUUCUGAGGCGUGGGCCUUGGUUGGUAAGGUGUGGUGUGUGAAGUCACGGUCAGGGUCAGUGUGGCCAGGAACAUCAGAAAACUGGAGGUGUACAGCAGAGCUUUGCGCCCCGCUUUGUCCAUCAAAACCGCUGCCAAGCUGACAGAAACAAGGCGAACCAACCCCACAAUUGCAGCAUCGUACCUGAUGCGGCACACAGGGACAGGUAGCGACUUAACUACACUAUGCAAAAAAUGCUCAUUAAUUAAAGAUAAUGAGCUGUCAUGCGCAGAAUGAACGAGUCGGGUUGCAUUUCACACCUGGGCUCCAGCGAGACAUUGCUCUGCGAAAAGAUGGGCUCCAAGUAGACAAGAAUGGGGCUGAUGCCGGUCAGCUGCUGCAGGAAACGCAUGCCCACAGAGAUGAGAAUUGGCCGGUAGUAGACCGGCUUAGCCAGCUCGUACCAGGAGACGCGGCUCUGCAGGCGUAUGCUGUGCUGCAUUGAAGUACACAUGCAGAAUACCUAGUUAGAGGUUCUUGAAUCCUGAGAGUCGACAGUAGAUAGAAUGGCAGUUGUCCCUUAUUGCCAUUCUGCUCACGGCCUCUAGAGGGCAAACCUGCAUGCGAGCAGGGGAUUGUUAUCAUGCGCUGUGAGCCAGUCCAACUUUAUAACAAGUUUAAGUGCCAACUUUGUCCUGUAACUUCUUUAUAUGUUAUUAACAGUUGAUAAUAGCACUCUCUGCUGUAUGUGUUUGACGUUCUUUUCCAUUUCAUCAUUUUUAUUGUACAUCUCACCUUGAUGGCAUCCAGCUCGCUUUGUAUGUCGUAGUCAGCUCCCCUCAGCCAGUGAAGGGCGCGCUCGGCCUGCUCCGCUCUGUCCAGAGAGAGGAGCCUUCUGGGGGAGUAAGGCAUGAAGACUAGCAGCAGUACCAUCAGCAAUGCUGGCACACCUCCUGCCACCGCAAGCCACCGCCACGCUGCCAUGCAUCAUUUGGGAAUGCGGAGGAAACCGGAGUACCCGGAGAAAACCCACGCAACCUACAGGAAUGGACGCCGCUGUCACCCCCCCGGCGACACCAGUGAGGAAGCGGCCCAAGUGGAGCAUCCAUAAUUCCGUAGCCCCUCCCAGCAACAGGUACCUGAAAUGCACACGUUAAGAAUGAAGUCACAAUAGCCAUGACUGAAGUGUGCAUGGACUAUAAUGGACUACGCAAUAGCAUCUACAGUCCUUUCAAAUACAGUUUCAUAUCUGACCCAAUAGCAGAAGGGAUGGCUGAGACCAUAAUGCUCAGCUUUCUGCCAAUCAAGUCAUUAAGCAGCAUGGCCCCGAGUCCACCGCAGGCCACACCCAGCAUGUAGAUUGAGCCGAACAAGGCGGCCUGGGAGGUGUCCAUCCUCAGCCGGGGGUCCGCAUCAGGACCCUGGAGCACAGGCAGGACGGGAGACGGAUAGACCAGGGAAUAGCCGAAAUUGAAGUUUCCUAAGACGGCUGCAAAAACAGCCAGGAACAGUUUGGAUUUGUUGAACUGGAAUGGAGAGAAGAGGAUUAAUUAAAACACUGACAAUGUUAGAUUUUUACAGCUGUUGUCAGUUUUAGCAUUCCUUUCCACUAAGCCAUAAAUUUUUCCCAUAUUAACAUCAUGAGUUCUCAUAGGUUGCUAGCAUGCUCGAUGUUAGCAUACGCAUUUCAGUUGGGUUGGACUGUCCCCAAAGUUAAGACCGCUUUAGCGGCCAAACCCAACACCCAAUGUCUGUCACAAACGCUACACGCACAUGUAGCGGGUCCAUUUAAACUUGGUUUAGUUAUAUUGCCAGUGAUGAAAAUGAGUCUAAAGUUCAAAAGUACUACAUAACGGUAUCUGUUUUUGUUGUUGAGGUGAGUUUUGUAUCGCUUACCGUGGCUUCUGGUGAUGGCUCUCUUGGAUUCAGUAGAGAUCUUCCUUCAUCCAUGUCAGCACAGGAGGACUGCACAACAGUAGUACGGUCUAGCCUUUUAUAUAAUAUCACAAAUAAGGCCAAAAUAAAGUUAUUUUGCUAUUGUUUAAGUCAGUCAUAUUUACAAAAACGCGAACCUGAGAUAUGUCCAGUGCGGUAAUGUC